This 356-nucleotide ribosomal RNA is filed under the name uncultured Pelotomaculum sp. RNAcentral describes it as "bacterial SSU rRNA". It matches the Rfam family "Bacterial small subunit ribosomal RNA", at positions 1025 to 1382 of the family's 1533-position model. The record is from RNAcentral. Lineage: Bacteria; Bacillati; Bacillota; Clostridia; Eubacteriales; Desulfotomaculaceae.
GACAGGGAGACAGGUGGUGCAUGGUUGUCGUCAGCUCGUGUCGUGAGAUGUUGGGUUAAGUCCCGCAACGAGCGCAACCCCUACGUUUAGUUGCUAACGCGUGAAGGCGAGCACUCUAGACGAACUGCCGUUGACAAAACGGAGGAAGUGGGAUGACGUCAAAUCAUCAUGCCCCUUAUGUUCUGGGCUACACACGUGCUACAAUGGCCGGUACAGACGGACGCAAAGCCGCGAGGGCGGAGCAAAUCCGAAAAGCCGGUCUCAGUUCGGAUUGCAGGCUGCAACUCGCCUGCAUGAAGGCGGAAUCGCUAGUAAUCGCAGGUCAGCAUACUGCGGUGAAUACGUUCCCGGGCCUU